UACGUAGGGGGCAAGCGUUAUCCGGAAUUACUGGGUGUAAAGGGUACGUAGGCGGCCCAUUAAGUCAGAUGUGAAAGCCCGGAGCUCAACUCCGGGAUUGCAUUUGAAACUGGUGGGCUAGAGUACAGGAGAGGAAAGUGGAAUUCCUAGUGUAGCGGUGAAAUGCGUAGAUAUUAGGAAGAACACCAGUGGCGAAGGCGGCUUUCUGGACUGUAACUGACGCUGAGGUA
This 230-nucleotide ribosomal RNA is filed under the name uncultured microorganism. RNAcentral describes it as "partial 16S ribosomal RNA". It matches the Rfam family "Bacterial small subunit ribosomal RNA", at positions 524 to 753 of the family's 1533-position model. The record is from RNAcentral.